Molecule: ribosomal RNA, 443 nt
Filed under: uncultured cyanobacterium
Lineage: Bacteria; Bacillati; Cyanobacteriota
Description: bacterial SSU rRNA
Rfam family: Bacterial small subunit ribosomal RNA
Source: RNAcentral
AUGUUGGGUUAAGUCCCGCAACGAGCGCAACCCUUGUUCCUAGUUGCCAGCAUUGAGUUGGGCACUCUAGGGAGACUGCCGGUGACAAACCGGAGGAAGGUGAGGAUGACGUCAAGUCAGCAUGCCCCUUACGCUCUGGGCUACACACGUGCUACAAUGGCGCGGACAAAGGGUUGCGAGCGCGCGAGCGUGAGCCAAUCCCAAAAACCGCGUCUCAGUUCAGAUCGCAGGCUGCAACUCGCCUGCGAGAAGGCGGAAUCGCUAGUAAUCGCAGAUCAGCAUGCUGCGGUGAAUACGUUCCCGGGCCUUGUACACACCGCCCGUCACACCAUGGGAGCUGGCCAUGCCCGAAGUCGGAGCACCCGCCGAAGGCAGGGCUGGUGACUGGGGUGAAGUCGUAACAAGGUAGCCGUACCGGAAGGUGCGGCUGGAUCACCUCCUUU